Small nucleolar RNA from Salvelinus sp. IW2-2015, 155 nucleotides. RefSeq annotates it as small nucleolar RNA SNORA15. The record is from RefSeq and is a predicted model, not a curated record. The transcript has a single exon. Lineage: Eukaryota; Metazoa; Chordata; Actinopteri; Salmoniformes; Salmonidae.
GUAUGGGCGAAUUCUGUGUUACUCUGCCAGUAGUAAAUAUAGUCAGACACCAUCCAAAAGAAUCCUUUCAUUCCUCCUUUCCUAAGGUGAGUGCUGUCCUGUACGUACAGGACAGCACUUACUGCACUCACGUCAGCGGAGAAAUGAAUACAACG